UGUACCACAUUAAACUAUAGUUAAAUAGGAAAUAUAUAUAUUUACUAGUACAGAACUGUUUCAUUUAAAGAUAAAUUAUGCUGGGUCAAACUUCUGUUCACAUUCCCCAGCCCCCUGUGAUACUGGGGACAAAGCAUUCAUUUCCACAUAAGCCAACUAUGCAAACACAGAGGUCAGAAAACAACCUGACAGAAGCAGUUCUUUUUCUCUACCAUGGGUACUCAGGGACUGAACUCGGGCUGUCAAGUUUUGCUGCAGGUGCCUUUACUUGUGAAGCCAUUUUGCUGGCCCAUCCCAACCUUCUUUGUACUUUUUCUUACACCAUGCUAAGGACUGAACACAGAGCUCCACACAUGACAGAAGCAGUAGCAAGUAAUAGCAGGUUGCCAUGGAGACGAGAAACUAGAGGGAUCAGAGAACUCAAUUUGCAGUUAAAUGGGCUGGAAACAAUCCUUACAAGUUGGUGAAAGAAAAUGAUUAAAAAUAUACUUGAUUGCCAGAGGGAUUCUUGUGCACCUAGCCAUUUCUUAACCUCAUUAAUGAACAAGGAAAUCUCAACCUCCCCACCCC
RNAcentral lists this small RNA (570 nucleotides) under Rattus norvegicus (Norway rat). RNAcentral's name for it is "uncharacterized LOC108352558". Lineage: Eukaryota; Metazoa; Chordata; Mammalia; Rodentia; Muridae. The record is from RNAcentral.